RNAcentral lists this ribosomal RNA (1313 nucleotides) under metagenome. Its description in RNAcentral is "bacterial LSU rRNA". It matches the Rfam family "Bacterial large subunit ribosomal RNA", at positions 1601 to 2925 of the family's 2925-position model. The record is from RNAcentral.
CAUGCUUCCAAGAAAAGCCCUAUACCCGUUAAGGCAUCAUGGCCUGUACCCGAAACCGACACAGGUGGGGUGGUAGAGAAUACCGAGGGGCGCGAGAUAACUCUCUCUAAGGAACUCGGCAAAAUGGCCCCGUAACUUCGGGAGAAGGGGUGCCACCGCAAGGUGGUCGCAGUGAAUAGGCCCAGGCGACUGUUUACCAAAAACACAGGUCUCCGCUAAGUCGCAAGACGAUGUAUGGGGGCUGACGCCUGCCCAGUGCCGGAAGGUUAAGGAAGCUGGUCAGCGUAAGCGAAGCUAGCGACUGAAGCCCCGGUGAACGGCGGCCGUAACGAUAACGGUCCUAAGGUAGCGAAAUUCCUUGUCGGGUAAGUUCCGACCCGCACGAAAGGCGUAACGAUCUGGGCGCUGUCUCGGAGAGAGGCUCGGCGAAAUAGAAUUGUCUGUGAAGAUGCGGACUACGUGCACCCGGACAGAAAGACCCUAUGAAGCUUUACUGUAGCUUGGUAUUGUGCUCGGGCUCGGAAUGCGCAGGAUAGGUGGGAGGCUUUGAUCCAUUGCUUGUGGGUGAUGGUGAGCCAAUGGUGAGAUACCACUCUUUCCGAGCUAGAGUUCUAACCUUCACCCGUUAUCCGGGGAGGGGACAGUAUCAGGUGGGCAGUUUGACUGGGGCGGUCGCCUCCUAAAAGGUAACGGAGGCGCGCAAAGGUCUGCUCAGGCUGGUUGGAAAUCAGCCGACGAGUGUAAAAGCAGAAGCAGGCUUGACUGUGAGACCAACAAGUCGAACAGGGAGGAAACUCGGCUUUAGUGAUCCGACGGUUCUGCGUGGAAGGGCCGUCGCUCAACGGAUAAAAGUUACUCUAAGGAUAACAGGCUGAUCUCCCCCAAGAGUUCACAUCGACGGGGAGGUUUGGCACCUCGAUGUCGGCUCAUCGCAACCUGGGGCUGAAGUCGGUCCCAAGGGUUGGGCUGUUCGCCCAUUAAAGCGGUACGCGAGCUGGGUUCAGAACGUCGUGAGACAGUUCGGUCCAUAUCCGGUGCAUGCGCAGGAAUAUUGAGAGGAUUUCUCCCUAGUACGAGAGGACCGGGAGGAACGCACCUCUGGUGUACCAGUUAUCGUGCCAACGGUAAACGCUGGGUAGCCAUGUGCGGAGUGGAUAACCGCUGAAAGCAUCUAAGUGGGAAGCCCACCUCAAGAUGAGUAUUCCCAUGGGGUAACCCAGUAAGGUCACGGGAAGAACACCCGUUGAUAGGCUCUACGUGGAAGCGCAGCAAUGUGUGAAGCGGAGGAGUACUAAUAGACCGAGGGCUUGACC